GUUUCAUUUAUAUUUAUUAUAGAAUUUUAUUUUUUAGUUAAAAAGCUAAAAUAAUUUCAAAAGACGAGAAGACCCUAUAAAUCUUGAUUAUUUAAUAAUUUUAAAUUUAUUUAGAUUUUUUUUAUUUUUAAUUGUUAAAUAAUUUUAUUGGGGUGAUAUUAAAAUUUAAUAAACUUUUAAUUUAUAUAUUUCAUUUAUUUAUGAAUUUAUGAUCCAUUUAUAAUGAUUAAAAAAUUAAGUUACUUUAGGGAUAACAGCGUAAUUUUUUUGGAGAGUUCUUAUCGAUAAAAAAGUUUGCGACCUCGAUGUUGGAUUAAGAUUCAUAUUUAAAUGUAGAAGUUUAAAUAUAAAGUCUGUUCGACUUUUUAUUCUUACAUGAUCUGAGUUCAAACCGGUGUAAGCCAGGUUGGUUUCUAUCUUUGAAUCAUAAAAAUAUUUUAGUACGAAAGGAAUAAAUAUUUAUUUUAUAAAAAUUUAUUUAUGAAU
RNAcentral lists this ribosomal RNA (486 nucleotides) under Megalabops sp. BOLD:ACP5917. RNAcentral's name for it is "partial 16S ribosomal RNA". The stretch from base 250 to 408 matches the Rfam family "Bacterial large subunit ribosomal RNA", at positions 2473 to 2632 of the family's 2925-position model. The record is from RNAcentral. Lineage: Eukaryota; Metazoa; Arthropoda; Insecta; Diptera; Diopsidae.